Molecule: long non-coding RNA, 425 nt
Filed under: Gossypium raimondii (Peruvian cotton)
Lineage: Eukaryota; Viridiplantae; Streptophyta; Magnoliopsida; Malvales; Malvaceae
Description: long non-coding RNA (GRAI_LNC007350)
Source: RNAcentral
UGGUUUAUUUCUUUUGCUAUUUUUUUGCAGGUGAUUGACGUUGAUGGAGAAAGUGGGCAUAGCGAUGGGACGUGCGGCGGUGGCAGAGCAAGUGGCCGACUUCGGCAGAUGCUAGGUGCGGCGGUAAUAGGCCCUAGGUGCGGUGCCUAUGGCUUGAAAUUUUUUUUUCUUUCUGUUAUGGGUUUGGGCUAGAGUUUGGUUAGUUGGGCAAGGGUGGUUGGGUACGUUGGGUAUUGGGGUCUUGGGCCAAAUGGGUUAUUGGGCUGUUUGAGUUUGGCAUCUGGGCCUCGGGUAAAUUUGGACUGUACAGUUAUUAAUAUUGAUCUGACAUAAAGUGGAUUCUUCAAUAUUGGAUUGAUUUAACGAAUAUAUUGAGCAUAUGAAUGGGUAUGUAUUGGGCCUCGUAUACCCUAAUUAACAACUCG